AUUAGCUUGUUGGUGGGGUAACGGCCUACCAAGGCGAUGAUGCAUAGCCGAGUUGAGAGACUGAUCGGCCACAAUGGGACUGAGACACGGCCCAUACUCCUACGGGAGGCAGCAGUAGGGAAUCUUCCACAAUGGGCGCAAGCCUGAUGGAGCAACACCGCGUGAGUGAAGAAGGGUUUCGGCUCGUAAAGCUCUGUUGUUAAAGAAGAACACGUAUGAGAGUAACUGUUCAUGCGUUGACGGUAUUUAACCAGAAAGUCACGGCUAACUACGUGCCAGCAGCCGCGGUAAUACGUAGGUGGCAAGCGUUAUCCGGAUUUAUUGGGCGUAAAGAGAGUGCAGGCGGUUUUCUAAGUCUGAUGUGAAAGCCUUCGGCUUAACCGGAGAAGUGCAUCGGAAACUGGAUAACUUGAGUGCAGAAGAGGGUAGUGGAACUCCAUGUGUAGCGGUGGAAUGCGUAGAUAUAUGGAAGAACACCAGUGGCGAAGGCGGCUACCUGG
RNAcentral lists this ribosomal RNA (500 nucleotides) under uncultured Bacilli bacterium. RNAcentral's name for it is "bacterial SSU rRNA". It matches the Rfam family "Bacterial small subunit ribosomal RNA", at positions 240 to 732 of the family's 1533-position model. The record is from RNAcentral. Lineage: Bacteria; Bacillati; Bacillota; Bacilli.